GAAACUGUUACAUUGGUGCAAAAGUCAUUGUGUUUUUUGCCGUUAUUUUCAACAGCAAAACCCUCAAUUACUUUUGCACCAAAGUCAUA
This 89-nucleotide microRNA precursor is filed under the name Chlorocebus sabaeus (green monkey). RNAcentral's name for it is "miRNA (ENSCSAG00000022266.1)". Lineage: Eukaryota; Metazoa; Chordata; Mammalia; Primates; Cercopithecidae. The record is from RNAcentral.